This 425-nucleotide unclassified non-coding RNA is filed under the name soil metagenome. Its description in RNAcentral is "partial contains 5.8S ribosomal RNA, internal transcribed spacer 2, and large subunit ribosomal RNA". The stretch from base 1 to 120 matches the Rfam family "5.8S ribosomal RNA", at positions 35 to 154 of the family's 154-position model. The record is from RNAcentral.
GAUGAAGAACGCAGCGAAAUGCGAUAACUAAUGUGAAUUGCAGAAUUCAGUGAAUCAUCGAGUCUUUGAACGCACAUUGCGCCUUCUGGUAUUCCGGAAGGCAUGCCUGUUCGAGAGUCAUUAACAACCGUUUCGAUCCCUUUCUUUCAGAAAUUACAAAGAGGAAAAGGGUUUGGUUAUGGUGGAGGAGGGAAAGGGAGCGUUUAGCCUGUAAAAAAAGAGGCUGUGUUCCGCCUCCCCCCCAAAAUUGUACAGGCGGUCGUGUGCGCCCACGCAUCGAGGUGUUGUAAAAGCUGCCACGGCACUUUUCACCUGUGCAGUGCGAGAUUGGCCAGCCGGUUUAAAAACCCCUCCAAACAAUCAAAGGUUGACCUCGGAUCAGGUAGGGAUACCCGCUGAACUUAAGCAUAUCAAUAAGCGGAGGA